UACAGAGGUCUCAAGCGUUGUCCGGAUUCAUUGGGCGUAAAGAGCACGCAGGCGGUUUGGCAAGUCGGAUGUGAAAACCCGAAGCUCAACUUCGGGCCUGCAUCCGAAACUGCCCGACUAGAGGUAGGUAGGGGAGAUCGGAAUUCCUGGUGUAGCGGUGAAAUGCGCAGAUAUCAGGAGGAACACCGGUGGCGAAGGCAGCUCGCUGGGACGGUACUGACGCUGAGGCGCGAAAGCUAGGGGAGCAAACGGG
RNAcentral lists this ribosomal RNA (253 nucleotides) under uncultured bacterium. RNAcentral describes it as "partial 16S ribosomal RNA". It matches the Rfam family "Bacterial small subunit ribosomal RNA", at positions 524 to 776 of the family's 1533-position model. The record is from RNAcentral.